Molecule: unclassified non-coding RNA, 302 nt
Filed under: fungal sp.
Lineage: Eukaryota; Fungi
Description: partial internal transcribed spacer region
Rfam family: Eukaryotic small subunit ribosomal RNA (bases 1-46)
Source: RNAcentral
AAGUCGUAACAAGGUUUCCGUAGGUGAACCUGCGGAAGGAUCAUUAAAAGAUUUUUGGUAUAAUUUUUUGGGGUCAAUUGAUCUCAAAAAAUAAUUCACCAUUUGUGCAUUGUUAUUAAGAUAUACUUUGGUUAGAGCUUUGAUUUCAUUGAUUGGAAUCAACUUCUCGCUGACUCUAUCCUUUCUGAGGACAGUUGGCUAUGAAGCGGCCUACCAAGGUUUUUUAUCAAAAACUUGUAUUUUGUCUGACCUAAACUACUAUAAUUAAAUCAUAACUUUCAACAACGGAUCUCUUGGCUCUC